CACUCUGGACUGGCACUUCGUUUCCCUGGCUCCCCAGCCUGGGCCUUACUCCCUUCCUUGUUUACCCUCUCUUGGCUUAUCUCAUGCAGCUCACUGGGCCUCACCAACCUUCUAGCUGAGCCCAGAGGCGAGCAUCAGAUGUCACAUGGGUGAGGGUGAGGCAGCAAGGCACCAGGACCUUGAGGACAGGAUGCUCCAAGGAGGCAAACAAAAAAGAUAGGACCGCGGUGCUGUGGAGAUCUCUGAAUGAACCUGGAACUCACAAACUGGCUAAAACUGGCUGGUUACUGAGCUCAAAGGAUCUGCCUGUCUCUCCCAUCACCACAACUACCCUCCUUGAGGAUUGCAACCAUCCACACUUGAGGAUUGCAGACCAGCUUUUGUGUGGAUCCUGGGGAAUCUGAAAUCAGGUCUUCCUUCUGGCAUUCAUGGCCUCCCUGGAAACCCAUCCAUGGUUCCUCAGUAAAGAACUCAUCCCUAAAGGACCAGCCUGGACAUCCGCAAAGGUGAUUGAGUUUCCCUGCAGCCCUGCCACAUCUUCCGGAUAGAAACCCAGGAUCCUCCCUACAGGGUAACUAACUUCCCAGAGUUCCCACAGCUGUGAAUACGCCUGGGACUCAAAUCCAGGUCAGUUUACUUUGACUGGAAGUAAAGGGAAAGGCAGC
Peromyscus leucopus (white-footed mouse) is the source of this 665-nucleotide long non-coding RNA. RefSeq lists it as uncharacterized. Lineage: Eukaryota; Metazoa; Chordata; Mammalia; Rodentia; Cricetidae. The record is from RefSeq and is a predicted model, not a curated record. The transcript has 3 exons.